Caenorhabditis elegans is the source of this 188-nucleotide non-coding RNA. The record is from Ensembl. NCBI's taxonomy places the organism in Eukaryota, Metazoa, Nematoda, Chromadorea, Rhabditida, Rhabditidae.
AUUUUCAUCUCAUUUUCCAAGAAAGUAACCCUUUUGGAAAGAAAAUAAAGAAGGCAGAUAUGACCCGUAAGACGGAGAUUUACGAUAAACGAGAGAGGGUCGAAUAGAAAUUAGUGCAAACCAGAAACAUCGGGAUAAGGUUUGGCGGUUAGCAAACAAAAUGCAUGGAUAGAUUUCAAAGAGAUAUU